RNAcentral lists this ribosomal RNA (497 nucleotides) under uncultured bacterium. RNAcentral describes it as "partial 16S ribosomal RNA". It matches the Rfam family "Bacterial small subunit ribosomal RNA", at positions 28 to 507 of the family's 1533-position model. The record is from RNAcentral.
GAUGAACGCUGGCGGCGUGCCUAAUACAUGCGAGUCGAGCGAACAGAUAAGGAGCUUGCUCCUUUGACGUUAGCGGCGGACGGGUGAGUAACACGUGGAUAACCUACCUAUAAGACUGGGAUAACUUCGGGAAACCGGAGCUAAUACCGGAUAACAUAUUGAACCGCAUGGUUCAAUAGUGAAAGGCGGCUUUGCUGCCACUUAUAGAUGGAUCCGCGCCGUAUUAGCUAGUUGGUAAGGUAACGGCUUACCAAGGCAACGAUACGUAGCCGACCUGAGAGGGUGAUCGGCCACACUGGAACUGGGACACGGUCCAGACUCCUACGGGAGGCAGCAGUAGGGAAUCUUCCGCAAUGGGCGAAAGCCUGACGGAGCAACGCCGCGUGAGUGAUGAAGGUCUUCGGAUCGUAAAACUCUGUUAUCAGGGAAGAACAAAUGUGUAAGUAACUGUGCACAUCUUGACGGUACCUGAUCAGAAAGCCACGGCUAACUACGUG